Molecule: ribosomal RNA, 311 nt
Filed under: uncultured Succinivibrionaceae bacterium
Lineage: Bacteria; Pseudomonadati; Pseudomonadota; Gammaproteobacteria; Aeromonadales; Succinivibrionaceae
Description: bacterial SSU rRNA
Rfam family: Bacterial small subunit ribosomal RNA
Source: RNAcentral
AUUGAACGCUGGCGGCAGGCUUAAUACAUGCAAGUCGAACGGUAGCAGCAGGAAGGCUUGUCUUUCUGGCUGACGAGUGGCGGACGGGUGAGUAAUACCUGGGAAACUGCCUACAAGAGGGGGACAACACCUGGAAACGGGUGCUAAUACCGCAUAAGCCCUGAGGGGAAAAGGAUGGGAAACCAUGCGCUUGUAGAUGUGCCCAGGAGGGAUUAGCUUGUUGGGGAGGCAAAGGCUCACCAAGGCGACGAUCUCUAGCUGGUCUGAGAGGAUGAUCAGCCACAUUGGGACUGAGACACGGCCCAGACUCC